GGCCUAACACAUGCAAGUCGAGCGAUGAAACCCUUCGGGGUGGAUUAGCGGCGGACGGGUGAGUAACACGUGGGUAACCUGCCUCAAAGAGGGGAAUAGCCUCCCGAAAGGGAGAUUAAUACCGCAUAAUAUGUUUUGUUCGCAUGAUCGAAACAUCAAAGGAUGUUCUUUUAGAACUUCCACUUUGAGAUGGACCCGCGGCGCAUUAGCUAGUUGGUGAGGUAAUGGCCCACCAAGGCAACGAUGCGUAGCCGACCUGAGAGGGUGAUCGGCCACAUUGGAACUGAGACACGGUCCAGACUCCUACGGGAGGCAGCAGUGGGGAAUAUUGCGCAAUGGGGGAAACCCUGACGCAGCAACGCCGCGUGAAUGAUGAAGGCCUUCGGGUUGUAAAGUUCUGUCUUCUGGGACGAUAAUGACGGUACCAGAGGAGGAAGCCACGGCUAACUA
This 450-nucleotide ribosomal RNA is filed under the name uncultured Clostridia bacterium. RNAcentral's name for it is "bacterial SSU rRNA". It matches the Rfam family "Bacterial small subunit ribosomal RNA", at positions 45 to 503 of the family's 1533-position model. The record is from RNAcentral. Lineage: Bacteria; Bacillati; Bacillota; Clostridia.